AAAAUGUUGGUUUAGUGGUAUAAUGGCCACCUCCCACGCGGCCGACCCAGGUUCGAUUCCCGGACAAACUG
Non-coding RNA from Entomophthora muscae, 71 nucleotides. The record is from the annotation of a GenBank genome assembly. Lineage: Eukaryota; Fungi; Entomophthoromycota; Entomophthoromycetes; Entomophthorales; Entomophthoraceae.